UUGUUGGUGACUUGUGGUCCUGUUGGUGACUUGGUUUCUCAGAUUGGGUUCAGAUGACAGUUUAUCAGAUGACUUUGGGUUUCAGAUAAAUUGUGGUUCCGAGUUCAAGCCGAAGCUUUGAUCCUGUGUUCAGAGAUGGAACAGCCUGCCAGUCUUGUCUGCAUCAUGUGCAUCAUAGCAUGUUUAUUUUCAAAAAGAUACGCAAUAAAAAAGGGUUAAAAAAAGAAAAAG
This 231-nucleotide long non-coding RNA is filed under the name Lathyrus oleraceus (garden pea). Its description in RNAcentral is "Pisum sativum (pea) long non-coding RNA (PSAT_LNC024008)". Lineage: Eukaryota; Viridiplantae; Streptophyta; Magnoliopsida; Fabales; Fabaceae. The record is from RNAcentral.